Long non-coding RNA from Phacochoerus africanus (Common warthog), 2790 nucleotides. RefSeq lists it as uncharacterized. The record is from RefSeq and is a predicted model, not a curated record. Lineage: Eukaryota; Metazoa; Chordata; Mammalia; Artiodactyla; Suidae. The transcript has 4 exons.
GUUCAUAGCUAAAUUCAGAUGCUCCAGCCUGGCCCUCGCAUGAAAGGCUUCGGGAAAACGCCCGGGAGCAGAGAGGCUGAGAGCACACCUUCAUCAACAGGAAACUUACUAAACCGCCUGCUAGAAUCCAAUGCUCUCCUAGGGACUUCAGAAAAGGGGACAGACCCCAAACAAAGACACACCACACACUGGGUGCUCUGAAGGCGUUUAUGGCCUCACUGGGGAGAUGAGGUGCACACGUGAAGCAGGUCAGCAGUGUAACAGUGCUCGGACCUUUCCCUGAUGUCACACUGGAGAGGACAGAAAGCCCAGCCAGUGAGUCCCCACGAGAGGUCAGGGACACGUGCCUUGGCAGCUACCACACGCAAAGUCAAACCCCACCCCCACAAGUCCCUGAACCUUUCUGAACCUCCAGUUCCUCCUCAACACAGUGAGGGUAAUAACAGUCACCAUUUCACAGGGCUGUUCCGGGGUUUACACGAUUGAGGUGGUUGCAUGUGAAGAAUUUAGGACAGGACCUGGCAUAGAUGCAUUAGGGCUCCGUCAAAUAGUAGCUGGCUCCUGCAGAGCCAGGAAUGCAACCUGGAUGAUGGGACCCUGAUCCAGUGCCCUUUGCUCCGUAUCACAGAGACCUGUGUGGUGCUAGUGUCCAAUGAAGACUGAGAGUAACUCCUGUCGUAGCUGAGAAGAUGGUGAAAGCAAUGCCAGUGGAAGAGUAGAAAAAAACAUGAAUGGAGUGAAACAUUGGGGAAAAGAAGGUAGGAUAUUUCAAAUCAGUAGCUUAUUGGGGACCGAACUGCUAGGUUCUCUCUUAAACAACACACCUCAUUGCAUUUCAUAUUUUUUUCAAUGAUUUUUAUUUUUUCCAUUAUGGUUGGUUUACAGUGCAUUUCAUCUUUACAAUAGCUCUUUCGACAAAUUCUUAAUUUUACAGAUGGGAAACUUAAUCUUGGAGAGGUUUAAAAACUUGUUGAAUGUCACAAGGCUGGUCAAAGGUGAAGUUAGGAUUUGAACAGCUGAUUUCAGAUUUCAAAGGACUCCCUGCCCUUAAGCAGAGAGCAGAGCGGUCUCAAUGACGGGAGAAACGUGAGUCCUGGCAACUUUGUGGAUGAGUGGCAAAGACAGGGCCUGAAAGAAGUAGAGUGAAUUCGGGAGUAGGGUGGAGUCCAGAUGGAAUACAGGUGGUGAGAGCAGGCCAGAAGGAGAGAAAAGGGGGAUAUAACAUUUUGGACAGACGGAAGCCAGCCGGGGUGUCAGCCUGAAGAUGAGAGGUUUGCUCUGCUUGGUUUAAAGGAGUCUUUCACUUUUUUCCCCACUGGUUAGGCUGCAAUGUUCCUCUUUUUAGACUCUUUUUUUCUUAAGAAUUUGAUUUUAACUUCUCUGAUUAAUUCCUGCCAGACAAUGAAUAUCCGGGGGAUCCAGGAAGAGUUCAUUCACCUCAUCACAGGAAGUGGCUUCAUCCUAAAUUCAAAAUUGAAACUGACUCACUACAGAAUCAAUAACGAUGAUGGCCAAGACAGCAGCAGUCUCUUGAAGGCCAGAAUCCCUGACACCGCCCAUUAAUGAGACACGAGAGGGAAAAGUUCAGCGAUGUUACUAAGAGCCACUCUGAGAAUAUGUUUAAAUAAAAGGCUCUGUGGGUGAUGAGCUCAUCUUCAUAGACCUAAGGCCUUCGAGAGAAAGGAAUGGCCUUUGAAUGUCUUGGAUUCUAUUCAAUUAAAUUGAAUUACCUAAAUAUAAUUUAUCGUAGAGUACAGAAGAUGUAUUUAUUUAAAUGGAAAUAUUUAUAGAUUUCUGCUUUUUUGCAGGGGCAUGUUAUUGCCCAUGUAUCCGUGAGUCCUUCAGAGAAUGACCUUACAUCCUGUCCAAGCCAUUUUAAAGACUGCUCUCGGAACACUCUAGAGCAGGACACCACGUCCCGUUCCCCAUCCAUGGCCCUGAGAAAUGAGGCCGGCUCCUUCCAGGGGCUCUUGGGCUUUCGACUUCAGAAGAGCCUAUAUUCUUCAAGAGAAUUCAAAAGGGAGUGAUGAGCACCAGACUGUUUCCACUUCUUCCCAGCUUUUGUCUCAUUCCCCUGCAAUAAGAGCGCCAGAUGAACCCUGAAUCUCUAGAAGUUAUCUACCUCUUGCAAAUGUCUGAUCCAUAGAAGAUAUUUAGAAUGCACAAUGCGAUGACUUGAUAUAGGUCAACAUUGUGAAAGGAUUACUUCCCAUUGAGUUAACAUGUCCAUCACCUCACGUUAUCCUUUUCGGCGGGACGGUGGCCUGAGCAUCCAGUUUCUCAUAAGAGAGAAUCUGCCAUGGAGUCCACAGGCCUGGAACACCAUUAAGGAGAAGACAAUAAAGAGAGAGAAGACUGAGGAAUUACCCCAGACAUCAUGAGGACACAGACUUUCUAUUGAAGGUACAAGAAGAGACAGCCAAACCCACAAGAUUUUUAUUUCUCCUGAACCUGAGGAGUUCAUUAAAACAAGGAGCAAAUGAGCCUUUCUGACACGUAAACCUUGGAGGAAGAUAAAAGAAACUCAUCGCACGCAAUGCACAUAGCAACAUCUCAGACCGAUGGCAUAGGAGAGAUCCUGACUUCUGACCAAGUUUUUAUCAGUCAGCUGAAGUCUUAGAAUUGAUCCAUCAUCCAUGACAUUAGUCAAACUCAAGAUCUACAGCAAACUCAGAGGAACACUAAGAACCACCCAGAUCUGUGUAAGGAGGAUGGAUGCAACAAAACUAGAUCUACAUGGAUACGUCUCAUAUUAAGUGAAGUCAGUCAGAAAGAGAAAGACAAACCAUA